UGAGAGAAGGAAAUGUUUCAAAAAAGAACAAAAUCCAGUAGUAAAAGGCAUAUAUCAUAAAAAAGAAAAAGAAUGUACUUUGACAAUAAAAAAGAAAAAGAAAGAAAAGAAAAGUAAAAAUGUCAAAGAAUACCGAAAAGGAAAAGUCACUAAAAUAAGAAGUUGUAAGGUGGGAAAGAAAAAAUAUCUUUUGGAAAAACAAAAA
RNAcentral lists this long non-coding RNA (205 nucleotides) under Lathyrus oleraceus (garden pea). RNAcentral describes it as "Pisum sativum (pea) long non-coding RNA (PSAT_LNC000847)". The record is from RNAcentral. Lineage: Eukaryota; Viridiplantae; Streptophyta; Magnoliopsida; Fabales; Fabaceae.